This is a long non-coding RNA of Heterocephalus glaber (naked mole-rat), 350 nucleotides long. NCBI's taxonomy places the organism in Eukaryota, Metazoa, Chordata, Mammalia, Rodentia, Bathyergidae. The record is from Ensembl.
CGCACCCCCGCCGUGCGUGCCCGCUAACCCCUUCAGCCCCGCCGCUGCUGGUUUCCCGGACUACUGGGAAGCCUCACGUUUAACUGCCCUUAGGGUUGCUCCGCUCAAGCUGCCUAAUCUUACAGAAGAGAAAACCGAGCCUCGAAGAAUUGAGUUGCUAGAGCCCAACGCAUUCACCUGGCUUCUCCAUUCUCUCCAGUGGGCAGAAACAGAAUUGUUCAAAUGAAGAUCCCUCUAAUUGCAAAACUCAGGCACUUUCCACUUCGUGGCUGGAGCCCGGAGACCAAAUUCCAGUGUGGUCUCUGCCACCUGGACUAUGCAACACUGAUACCAGGAAUUGAACUCAGGAC